GUCCUCAUGGCUGCCCUGACUCUCUGAAGUGGCCUGGGGGCUCUGGGCUGACUGUGGGGGACACAUGGCCAUUUUGAGCACCACAUAGGCUGGUGAGCCCUGCUGCAGCCCAGGUGACAUCCUCACCCCACAGCCUGCACCCUAGGGAUGGGGUGUCUGCCUGAGCACAGCACUGGGGGCCUGGCCCCAGCAGCAGGUCCUGGAUGUGCUGAGUCUGGGCUGCCUGCGGUGACCUCUCUGAGAGGGGGUGGGGAUGUCAGGUGCAGCUGCAUACUGGGGACCCUGCAGCGAGCCCUAGGUGUGGACUCCUGAGUCGGCUUUUUGCCUUCCCAAUGUCUUUUUCCAGAGCUCACAACGGCCUGGGGCUGAGGACAAUGCCCUCAAUGAGAUCGUGAGUAUCUUGCAGCCCACCCAGGUCCCUGAGCAGGAAAUGGAAGUCCAGGAGCCAGCAGAGCCAACAGGUGUCAACAUGUCCCCAGGGGAGUCAGAGCAUCUGCCGGAACCGGCAGAAGCUGAAGGGUCUCAGAGGAGGAGGCUGCUGGUUCCAGCGAAUGAAGGUGAUCCCACUGAGACUCUGAGACAGUGCUUCGAUGACUUUGCAGACUUGGUGCCCUUUGACUCCUGGGAGCCGCUCAUGAGGAAGUUGGGCCUCAUGGACAAUGAGAUAAAGG
RNAcentral lists this small RNA (671 nucleotides) under Pan troglodytes (chimpanzee). RNAcentral describes it as "retained intron". The record is from RNAcentral. Lineage: Eukaryota; Metazoa; Chordata; Mammalia; Primates; Hominidae.